AGUGAACGCUGGCGGUAGGCCUAACACAUGCAAGUCGAACGGCAGCACAGUAAGAGCUUGCUCUUACGGGUGGCGAGUGGCGGACGGGUGAGGAAUACAUCGGAAUCUACUUUUUCGUGGGGGAUAACGUAGGGAAACUUACGCUAAUACCGCAUACGACCUACGGGUGAAAGCAGGGGAUCUUCGGACCUUGCGCGAUUGAAUGAGCCGAUGUCGGAUUAGCUAGUUGGCGGGGUAAAGGCCCACCAAGGCGACGAUCCGUAGCUGGACUGAGAGGAUGAGCGUCGACACGGUAAGUGAGAAAAGGUACAGAACCCUACGGGAGGCAGCAGUAGCGAAUCGGGAGAAAUGGGCGAAAGCGUGAACAAGCACUUCAGGGUGGAUGAAGAAGGUCUUCGUAUAGUAAACCCAUGUUUUUAGGUAAGAAAAAAUGAGGCAGUAAAUAUCCACGUCCUGACGGUACCGAAAAAGAAAGCAACGGCUAACUACGUG
Molecule: ribosomal RNA, 492 nt
Filed under: uncultured bacterium
Lineage: Bacteria
Description: partial 16S ribosomal RNA
Rfam family: Bacterial small subunit ribosomal RNA
Source: RNAcentral